GUUAUUUCCCUAUUUUUCUCACACGCCCACUCUCCUCAUUUUCUUUUUCCAAUGUCGUUUCAAAUUUGUACUAGUUCGUACAUUUCCAGCUCACUGGAGCCUUAUCCAUUAAGCAAUUUCCAAAAAAAUGGUUUCUCCCACAUCGAAGAUACUCUCAGAAUUGGGAGAUUUGGGGUGCUAUAAAAAGCCCCUCUCCUCACUGUUCAAAGGACGGAUUUGGAGACUUGAGAGUUCCCCUAAAAAGGUUGUGGAAUUCUCGUCUUAGCAGUUUAAAAUUUUGAGUUUGUUCGAGUUGAAGAGGUGGAAUCAUCUCUGUCCAAACUUGUCGUCGUCCGUUUCGCUGCCCAGAACAAAUUAGUCAUCACCAUCUAUAUGAGUCACUAAGAACUGAACAAACAUUCUCUACAUCACAUUCAGGGAUUAGAACCUCUCUUGAAAAGAUUUGUCUGGCUCUUUCUAAUAACCAAGAUAUUCCCAAGAGUCAGUUGAUACAAGUUUUGUCAGAACGAGGUUUCAUUUCAUGGCUUGUUCCAUAUUGCAAUGAUCAAUCACAUCCCUUGAUUAGCUACACAUUGUUGCAAGUAGGACAUGUUUCAAUAGUAGGUUAGACUGGAAGUAGGACAUCAUAAUUAGACGGAGGAUUUCGAGAAGAAUGAUGAUAAUUUUAGUUUGUAUUAACUAUGGAGCGAUGCUCAAGAGAAGGAAUUUGAGUCAACUAAAGCACUCAAUUCUUAGGAUGAUUGAUUUUAUCGAAACAUUACUUUAUAAUUUAGUCUCUUUUUUCGUAUUAUUAGAAGCAGAGAAAUGGUUAGCAAAAAAGGUAGAUAGAAAAGAGAGAAAAAUGUUUUUUUUUCAUUGUAAAUGUGACAUGAAAUAUCAAUUCAAUAACUUUGUGUAUUUA
Long non-coding RNA from Solanum pennellii, 901 nucleotides. RefSeq lists it as uncharacterized. The transcript has 2 exons. The record is from RefSeq and is a predicted model, not a curated record. Lineage: Eukaryota; Viridiplantae; Streptophyta; Magnoliopsida; Solanales; Solanaceae.